Molecule: ribosomal RNA, 362 nt
Filed under: marine bacterium SIMO-4472
Lineage: Bacteria
Description: bacterial SSU rRNA
Rfam family: Bacterial small subunit ribosomal RNA
Source: RNAcentral
UACCGCAUACGCCCUACGGGGAGAAAGGAGGGGAUCUUCNGAACUUUCGCUAUCAGAUGAGCCUGCGUAGGAUUAGCUAGUUGGUGGGGUAAAGGCCCACCAAGGCGACGAUCCUUAGCUGGUCUGAGAGGAUGACCAGCCACACUGGGACUGAGACACGGCCCAGACUCCUACGGGAGGCAGCAGUGGGGAAUAUUGGACAAUGGGGGCAACCCUGAUCCAGCCAUGCCGCGUGUGUGAAGAAGGCCUUCGGGUUGUAAAGCACUUUCAGUGGUGAGGAAAGGGUAACCGCUAAUAUCGGUUAUCUGUGACGUUAGCCACAGAAGAAGCACCGGCUAAUUCCGUGCCAGCAGCCGCGGUAA